UACGGAGGGUGCAAGCGUUAUCCGGAUUCACUGGGUUUAAAGGGUGCGUAGGAGGGCAGGUAAGUCCGUGGUGAAAUCUCCAAGCUUAACUUGGAAACUGCCAUGGAUACUAUCUGUCUUGAAUAUUGUGGAGGUGAGCGGAAUAUGUCAUGUAGCGGUGAAAUGCUUAGAUAUGACAUAGAACACCAAUUGCGAAGGCAGCUCGCUACACAUAUAUUGACUCUGAGGCACGAAAGCGUGGGGAUCAAACAGG
This 253-nucleotide ribosomal RNA is filed under the name uncultured bacterium. RNAcentral describes it as "partial 16S ribosomal RNA". It matches the Rfam family "Bacterial small subunit ribosomal RNA", at positions 524 to 776 of the family's 1533-position model. The record is from RNAcentral.